Long non-coding RNA from Meriones unguiculatus (Mongolian gerbil), 3941 nucleotides. RefSeq lists it as uncharacterized. The transcript has 7 exons. Lineage: Eukaryota; Metazoa; Chordata; Mammalia; Rodentia; Muridae. The record is from RefSeq and is a predicted model, not a curated record.
GUUCUUUGGUGGAAGGGUAAACUAAAUGGAGUAAGUGCUUACCGUGUAGGAGCACCCGGCCGUGUUUGUUUGAAACAGGACGUCUCGAUGUAGCCCUAGCUGUGCAGAAACUCGCGACGUCGACCUGACCGGCCUCAAACGCACAGUGCUCCUCCUGCCUCUGCCUCCCAAGUUCUGGGAUUCAAGGCACGCACCACCACUCCCUUAGGGGAAUCAUGGCCUAGCUGCCUUGAGAGGCAUGCCUCAUGGGUUUUUCAGGUUGGAGUCUGUGGCUGCUGGGGCACUCCCUCAGGCAGUGAAGGUUUCAGGCUGAUUUGUGUUUCUCUGCAUGUUCCCUCAGAAGCCAGGGAAGCGUGCAAGCUUGACGGGGCAGUUGGUCUGGGACACUAAUCUAGGUACCCUGCAUAGCUUAAAAUGUCAUUGUAUCCUGGCAGCUACCGUAGUAUUGAUUCUGGUAAUCACCCUUAUAUUCUCUUUCUUAUAAAGGUAUAAAAAUGUGCCUUUAAUCCCAGCAUUCAGGGAGGCAGAGGCAGGUGGAUUGCUGUGAGUUCAAGGUCAGCCUGCCUGGGGGUUGGGGUGAGAGACCAAAGAAUUAAAAAUCAGUGGGCGUUGUUUUAAAGUUUAAAGCACAAGCCUGAACAGAGGCUAGCUAGGUGGAGACAUGUCCAGUCACCUUGGGGGAGGAACUAGCCUCAAUGCCCUGAGGGGAAGAACUAGCCUUACUGCCUUCUUUCCUGCCCACAAGAGAUACAGUUGCUAGGAAACCAGCCCAUCCCCCCUAGGCAGGGAAGCCAUUAAUGGUUUGGGGGCCUUCCUAUCAUCUAAUCAAUUCAAAACACAGCAGCCCCUCUUGUGUUUUGACCAAUAGAUGCUUGCCAGGUAGGAAUCCUCCUGCUUUGGGCAUGCUGGGAGGGACUGGACUCUUUAAAUCACCCAAGUAACCUGAGCACGAGGCUCUUGCCCUCUCACUGCUUAGGGGGUGAGGGUGUGUGAGCCCAAGCUGUAGCUUGUAAUAAAAAGAUCCUCAUGUGUUUGGCAAUGGACUUGACCUUUUGGGGUCUCGUGAAUCAGGCACAACAUACUUGGGGCCUCUCCAUGAUUCCCAAGACCUCUGGGGACUCCCAAGCUGGAGGAUCAGAACCCCACGUAAGCACUUUGGUCUUGGCCAAGUUCUAUGUCUCUGUUCUGUCAUUCUGUGUAUUUUUGAGAUCUCAAGGCACACAGUGGGUGGCCAGGGAUUGGGCGUGUCAUAGUACACCAGCUGAAGAGCUGGCAGACCAAAGCCACGGGGAUCUUGGGAGACGUCCCAGAACCCCGUGGGGCAGUGCUCCCCAAUAGCACUGUGGGGGAUACAGGGUCCCAAGUCUAUUUGACAGGCUUAAAAAGGGCGUUUCUCCCACACAGAGAGGAAGCGCCGCCAACAUACUGGUUUGGGGUUCUUGCUUGCUUGGCUGACGGAAUAUGUUGUUCUGCCUUUGUGUUUGUCUGGCUUUCUGUGGUCACUAUGGAUACUAUGGGACAGACUUCCUCUAACCCUCCCCGUUUCUCCGAACCCUUCCGCCUGCUCCAUGUUCCUGAAGCAGCAGUGCGACCACAGUGAGCACGGGCUGGGAAAGCAUGCAAGGGUGGAGACGGGUGAAAUUGUCCCGCACUUCUCCUGGGCCAGCGAAAUUUCAGCUGGAGGAAACUAGGAAGACAAGUCUCAUUUUAACUGGUAUUGGUUUUAGAGACUGAAAGUUUGCACUGGUGAAUUUUGAUUUUAUAAUUUGUGCCGGAUCCCGCCAGCAGAGUCGAACGAUUCUUGAGUUGGGAGUGAGGAUUAAAAUUAAUAAAAAAACACACAGCACACAGGAGGCUUUUUUAAGAAGGUCCGGACUCGCCAGCCACAGCAAAAAGCCGCCUUAGCAGCAAGCAGCCACAAGCAGCAAGCCUCAAGCCUCUGCAGCAAAACUAGCAGCAACUGCCAGCCUGUCUUUUUAUUGUAGAGUUUUUAGGCUACAGUAGAAACAUCUCAGAACAGUGGGUUAAUUUCCACGAGGAGCCUGAGGAAGAGGUGUGAUCUUCACAAGCUAUCCCACCUGCUGUCACAAACAAAAGAUGGAUUUGCAAAUUCUUCCCUGACUUAGUGAAGGCCUGGUAAAAGCAGUCUUUCUGCUGAGAUUUAAAUAAAGCAGCUGCCUGAGGUACUGUCUACCUGCCAGCGGGCUCCAGCAGUAUCAUGUCAGAACGAAAAGGAUUUUUUUGAUGGAAGUUUCUAUGUUGUCUGAAAAGCAAGAAAGAAAGCAGGAGACUGGGAUUUUAAAAAGGAAAAGGAAAGAAUAGCUUGUCUAAAGUAAGAAUGUCUGAUUAUACCAGAAGAACAGAGCCAGGAAAAGCCUAAUGUCACGAGCGCUUAAUUAUGCCGGAGGACUUUAACCAAGACGCCACAAAGGGCGGCAAGGGGGAAGAAGACUGCAGCUCCAUGUUAGCCCAGGAUUAUACAGGGUUGUAUUCAAGUCCUUGUUAACUAUUACAUGAAAUAUAUGCCUGACUACCAAUUCCUGCAUGAAUGGAUUCCUGCUUUUCUUUGUGGCCGAUGGAUUUGGUUAAGCCUUGGAUGGAUAACUAUGAAGUUUGUCAAUGUAGAUCUACUUGAAAUAGGUGACUGCGACGCUGAAUUGUGGUGUGCUAACCACUGGACAAGGCUGCCCCAACUGGCCCACUGCUAGGGCCCAGCCUAAACUGUGGACAAAGCUGUGGACAUCUGAAGAGUCAUUGUUUCACGUUGCUGAGGACGAGGAUCAGCUAUGGACUGCAAGCUGAAAUCAGAACUUGCUGGAAGCUGACAUGAUUGUUUCCUGUCUCUUCAGUUGGUUCAACUAACCAGAUGCUUCUGAGGACUGACCCAUUGCCCAGCCUUUGACUGGCAUUUCAGCCUUCCUAGCCCCUGUUGCCAACGAUCCUAUUGUCAGUUCUGAAGCAGUUUCAGACGAUGUGAUCUUUGCCCAAAAUCCCACCUAACAGGCUGAAAUGCUAAGUCAAAAGGGGCUCCCUGACAUUAGCUAUGAUCUUGGGCAUUUGCUUAGCUGAAAUGGGAACUAAUAUUGCAGCAAUUGGACAAAAAGCCUGGAGAGAUGCUAGAGAGAAAAGAUUCCAUAGGAUGGUUUAAAUCCUGCUAUAAUAGUUCUCCUUGGCUUACUACCCCUAUAUCUGCCCUGAAGGGACCCCUACUCAUUUUAUUUUUACCUUUGGGCCUUGUAUUUUAAAUAGCUUGAUGGCUUUCAUGAAGGAAUGCUUGAGAGCAAUUUAACUAAUGGUACUCAGAUCCCAUUAUGGAAAGGUGAAUUUGGAGGCCUGACUCCAGGGGCCAUAUCUGGAAGAGCCAUGAUUGGGUCUUCAGAUGAUCGUGGGAUGCUGAAAUGAGAGACCAAAGGAUUAAAAAUCACUGGCUCUUAUUUUAAAGUUUAAAGCACAAGCCUGAAUUAAGUCCAGCUAGGUGGAGACAUGUCCAGCCACUUGCGGGGAAGAACUAGCCUUAACACCCUGAGGGGGAGAACAAGCCUACUGCAGUCUUUCCCCAUCCACUAGUUAUAUAGUUGCUAGGAAACUGGCCCAUAUGGCCAGGCUAGAACUGCUUGUGGUCGUGGCACCUAAAAUGGACCAGUCAUUUCAAAAGUCAAUUUUCCUUACCCAAUCAUGUAACACCAAAGCAUGUAAGUCCCUGCUUGCGUUUUUUUUUUUUUUUGUUUUUUUUGUUUUUUUUCCUUUAAAAACCCUGUUCCCCUAGACUGCAGGGCCAUAUACAAUUAAAAAAAAAAAAAACAAAAAAAAAACAACAAAAAAAACCUCAUGUAUUUACAGCAGAGUCUAUUUCUGGUCUUUUGGGGUCUCACAAACUGGGCAAAACAGGGGGAGGUAUAAAAAGUCCGAUUGCUCUCAAUAAACUUGAAACAGCCUCUGUG